CGCCAUUCUCCUGCCUCAGACCCCGGAGUAGCCGGGACUACAGGCGCCUGUGCAAUCUCUAUGGUAACCACAUUUCCCAGUUGACUACUACCGGUAAUAAAAUCAAAUGGAUUCAGUGCUCACAACUCUUCAGUCUUUGGGCUACUUUCCAUUCUUGAAUUUUUAGCUGAAUUCAUCUCUUUGGCUGGAUUUUGUGAAUCGGGCAGCCAUUAGAACCAAAACAGUUCUGAGGAGCUCCCAGGCUGCAAUGUGGUGCGAAAUGUUUUAUGGACAGAAAAUGGAAAUGAGGUGCAGAAAUUGGAGAUGAAAUUUCAGUCUUUAUUCAAGAUCAAGUGCAACUGUCUCUUUGAGGAAAGUCCUUUGACCGCCAUUUCUCCCCUUCAGAAGGCAAACACCUGGGGGAGAAGAUCUGCUUAAGGACCUGGUAACUGACAAAGAAUGGAAUGGGAGCGAGAACCGCCUAGCCAUCCCUUCUCCUUGCACAGUCAUGAAACAAAAGUUGAAAAGGAGCCUGGUUUUACUUGACCAGUCAUAAAUUACCAUAAAAUAAAAUGAGAUAUUAGGAACCUUUGAUCUCUGAAAAAGUAAUAUGUGUUGAAAAGAAAUAUCACUGUUACAUAUAGACAAAUAAUAGAAAUAUUUGAGGCAUGCAUUUAAAAUGUAGAGGCCACUUAUAGCAGGCAUAUUAACAUGUGCAUUUGCUUUUUAAGAAGUAUACACACGUGUACCUUUAGCUUUGAAAGGGUAAGAUUCAAUGCUUGGGUGAUGGAUGCACUAAAGUCUCAGAAGCCACCACUAAAGGACUUACCCACGUAACCGAAAACAACCUGUACUCCAAAAUCAAUGAAAUAAAAUAAAAAGGUAAGAUUCAUAAAUAGCAAGUUGAGAAUGCAUGUUUAUACCAUGUAGACAAUGCAUGA
RNAcentral lists this long non-coding RNA (920 nucleotides) under Homo sapiens (human). RNAcentral's name for it is "HSALNT0135052". Lineage: Eukaryota; Metazoa; Chordata; Mammalia; Primates; Hominidae. The record is from RNAcentral.